RNAcentral lists this ribosomal RNA (400 nucleotides) under uncultured bacterium. RNAcentral describes it as "bacterial SSU rRNA". It matches the Rfam family "Bacterial small subunit ribosomal RNA", at positions 975 to 1375 of the family's 1533-position model. The record is from RNAcentral.
CUACUCUUGACAUCCAGAGAACUUAGCAGAGAUGCUUUGGUGCCUUCGGGAACUCUGAGACAGGUGCUGCAUGGCUGUCGUCAGCUCGUGUUGUGAAAUGUUGGGUUAAGUCCCGCAACGAGCGCAACCCUUAUCCUUUGUUGCCAGCGGUUAGGCCGGGAACUCUAAGGAGACCGCCGGUGACAAACCGGAGGAAGGUGGGGAUGACGUCAAGUCAUCAUGGCCCUUACGACCAGGGCUACACACGUGCUACAAUGGCGCAUACAAAGAGAAGCGACCUCGCGAGAGCAAGCGGACCUCGUAAAGUGCGUCGCAGUCCGGAUUGGAGUCUGCAACUCGACUCCAUGAAGUCGGAAUCGCUAGUAAUCGUGGAUCAGAAUGCCACGGUGAAUACGUUCCC